This 2203-nucleotide unclassified non-coding RNA is filed under the name Ixodes scapularis (black-legged tick). RNAcentral describes it as "bifunctional purine biosynthesis protein ATIC, transcript variant X2". Lineage: Eukaryota; Metazoa; Arthropoda; Arachnida; Ixodida; Ixodidae. The record is from RNAcentral.
CUCUCUCCCGAACAACCGCCCAAACCAAAUCGCAUUUUUCCCCCUCCCAAGUGUCGUCGUGUCGUGUGUCGUCUUAUCCCGACCGAUUAAGUUAGUUGAACAAGAACCAUGGCUGCAACGGGCGAACUCGCUAUCCUCAGUGUGUCCAACAAGGCGGGACUGCUGGACCUGGCCAAGAAACUACAGCAGGCCGGGCUGAGACUGGUGGCUUCGGGUGGCACUGCCAAGGCCAUCAGGGAAAUCGGCUUGCCCGUCAAGGAUGUGUCCGAGAUCACAGGGGCUCCCGAGAUGCUGGGCGGCCGUGUUAAGACUCUGCACCCUGCAGUUCACGGAGGCAUUCUGGCCCGCAAGAUUGACAGCGAUCUCGCCGACAUGAACAGGCAGGGCUACGAGUUUGUGAGCGUGGUGGUGUGCAACCUGUACCCCUUUGUGGAGGCCAUCUCCAAGCCAAACACGACUGUGGCAGAGGCUGUCGAGCAGGUGGACAUUGGUGGCGUCACUCUUCUGCGGGCCGCUGCCAAGAACCAUGAACGGGUGACCAUCAUCUGCGAUCCCGACGAUUACGAUGUGGUUGCCAAGGAGAUGCUGUCGUCGCCGACCAGGCAGACGUCCCUAGAGACCAGGAGGCGUCUGGCCGUCAAGGCGUUCCUGCACACGGCCCAGUACGACGCGGCCAUCUCGGACUACUUCCGCAAGCAGUACCUGGCGGGCGUGGCACACCUGCCGCUGCGGUACGGCACCAACCCGCACCAGACGCCCGCCCAGCUUUGCACGUCCCUGCCCCGCCUGCCCCUCUCCGUGGUGAAUGGGUCCCCCGGCUUCAUCAACCUGUGUGACGCCCUCAACGCGUGGCAGUUGGUGAAGGAGCUCAAGGCCGCCCUGGGCAUCCCUGCCGCCACCUCCUUCAAGCACGUCAGCCCUGCCGGUGCGGCGGUGGGCAAUCCCUUGACGCGGGACGAGGCGAAGCUGUGCAUGGUGGACGACCUGUUCGACAGCCUCACCCCCAUCGCCACUGCAUACGCCAGGGCCAGGGGAGCCGACCGAAUGUCUUCCUUUGGAGACUUCCUGGCCCUGUCUGACGAGUGCGACGCUGUCACCGCCAAGAUUGUCUCCCGAGAGGUGUCGGACGGCGUCAUUGCCCCUUCCUACAGUGCCGAGGCCCUGGAGAUUCUCCGCAAGAAGAAAGGUGGAAACUACUGCGUCCUCCAGAUGGACCCGACGUACGAGCCGACCCUGAUGGAGUCACGCACCCUGUUUGGCCUGACCCUGGAACAGCGUCGCAACGAUGCCAAGAUCGACCCCUCCCUCUUCACCCAGAUCGUCUCCAAGAACAAGGACCUGCCGGAGUCUGCGGUGAGGGACCUGAUUGUGGCCACCAUUGCACUCAAGUACACCCAGUCCAACUCGGUCUGCUACGCCAAGGACGGACAGGUGAUCGGCAUCGGUGCUGGCCAGCAGUCACGUAUCCACUGCACUCGCCUCGCUGGAGACAAGGCCAACAACUGGUGGCUGCGUCAACACCCCAACCUGAAGGCGAUGGUGUUCAAGAAGGGGGUCAAGCGGGCCGAGAUCUCCAACAUCAUCGACGUCUACGUCGGAGGCGUCUUCGGUCAGGACAUGCCGCUGGAGCAGUACCACAACUCUGUUGAGAACCCGCUGCCACAGCUGACCGAGGCAGAGAAGAAGGACUGGAUCUCCAAGAUCUCCGGGGUGGCCCUGAGCUCGGACGCCUUCUUCCCGUUCAGGGACAACAUUGACCGGGCUCGCCAGAGUGGAGUGCAGUACAUAGUGAGUCCCGGCGGCUCGACCAACGACCAGGGAGUGAUUGAGGCGUGCGACGAGUACGGCAUCACCCUGAUCCACUCGGGCCUCCGGCUCUUCCAUCACUGAGGCCAACCCCCCGGUGGUGCCAAAGCUGGGACCAGCAGGCAACUGGCAACUGGCGUCUGAUCAACUGAUGCGAAGUGGUCGCCUGAAGAAAUGGAUGUCUAGGAUUUUGUAGCGGUGCUUCCGUCACGACGACAUGUGUUACAAGAGGCGGACUCAACAUGGUUCAACCCUUGCCAAAUGUCAAUUGUGUGCAAUUUUUCGUAUAUGUCUAAAUGAGCCGUUCAGAAAGUCUUUUCUCAUGGGGCAUGUCGUAAACGUGCAUUCUGUUAUUCUGCUUGCCUGGUUAAUAAAGCAUACUUUUUCAGUAGUAAAA